Molecule: non-coding RNA, 399 nt
Organism: Paramuricea clavata
Lineage: Eukaryota; Metazoa; Cnidaria; Anthozoa; Malacalcyonacea; Plexauridae
Source: the annotation of a GenBank genome assembly
CUCCAGGGUAUACUAUUACCCAUACAAAUAUGAAUCAAAGGGAAAUAUACACGGAGCUAUGCAAUAACAGUUCUCUGCAGGGUAUAUAUGUAUAGGAAAUAUUUUUAGAACUUGUACAAAUUCAUUUCAAUUAUUUCAUUUCAGAUAUUCAUUAUAAGUUGUUUGAAGAAGUCCCAAUGGGGUGGCGAGACAGCAAUUUGUGAUAAUCGUGACUUCCAUGUAAAGUUAGACCCAGCAUUUGUCCAGAAAUGUGAAGAUAGAGAAAUUCGUUAUUGGAACUGUCUACACAGUAAGGAUAGUUAUAAAAAUCGUUAUCAAAGCUGGCAAAUGCGUUUUAUAACCGAAGAUAAGGAUAAAGUUAACGAUUUUUUAAAAAAUGAAAAUUAUCAUUAUUCCUGG